Molecule: long non-coding RNA, 487 nt
Organism: Oreochromis aureus
Lineage: Eukaryota; Metazoa; Chordata; Actinopteri; Cichliformes; Cichlidae
Exons: 6
Source: RefSeq, a predicted model, not a curated record
GGAGUCCCUCCUCUAAAAGCACUCUGUGUGGGGAACAUGAGAGCCAGACCAAAGCUCAGAGGAACCCACCUGGACCUCCACCCAGCUCUGUGUCCUUACAGAAUGAAACGUCUGGAGGUUUCCUCAUUGAUUUUAAAGUCUCUGCUGCAGAGAGAGGUCAGAGGUCACAGUCUGCAGGAUCCAGCUGUCCGUCUGUGAGGAGUGAUGAGUCCAUACAUCAACCUCCAUACUUCAGUGCUGAACCUGGACCAACGAGGAUCAAUAAGAGGCCAGAAUCUCCUGGACCUGAACCCAGCUGUGUUUCCUUAAAGAGCAACGAGUCGAAGGAUGUUGAUAUAAACUUUAAAGGCUGGUCUUCUGCUGCUGAGAGAGCUUCUGCACAGUGUGGAGAAAGAUCCAGAAGCAGAGCUGGACUGCAGACAGCCAGUCAGAGCAGCUGUGUACAAAAUGUUGGUCUGCAGGAGGUUUUAGAUGAACAUAAGAUCAG